This 159-nucleotide ribosomal RNA is filed under the name Bryum argenteum. RNAcentral describes it as "5.8S ribosomal RNA". The stretch from base 26 to 159 matches the Rfam family "5.8S ribosomal RNA", at positions 1 to 135 of the family's 154-position model. From Rfam's summary of the family: 5.8S ribosomal RNA (5.8S rRNA) is a component of the large subunit of the eukaryotic ribosome. It is transcribed by RNA polymerase I as part of the 45S precursor that also contains 18S and 28S rRNA. Functionally, it is thought that 5.8S rRNA may be involved in ribosome translocation. The record is from RNAcentral. Lineage: Eukaryota; Viridiplantae; Streptophyta; Bryopsida; Bryales; Bryaceae.
UGAAUCUAAAACUCUAACUUAAAACAACUCUCAGCAACGGAUAUCUUGGCUCUUGCAACGAUGAAGAACGCACCGAAAUGCGAUACGUAGUGUGAAUUGCAGAAUUCCGCGAAUCAUCGAGUUUUUGAACGCAAGUUGCGCCCGAGGCUUGUCCGAGGG